ACUUGAGACGGGGAGGCAUUGUAAGCCAGGGGCUGCUUUACACAUCAGCCCCCCACUGGAGAGUCAGUUCUUGCAAUGAUGCUGACUUGAAGAGGUGAUGCUGGAUAUCAUGCUGCUCAUGGGAUGGAGGGAGCUGGAGCUACUGGAGAGGAUACAGUUCGUAAACGUACAGGAAUCCGUCAAGAAGAGGUAUAACUCAGAUUCUCUUGACUAUCAAUGUCAACCCACCGCUGCAAUUCCGUAUACUAUCAACACCACUACCACUGGGGGCAAUCUCGUUUGCUAUGCGAUCUAUUGAUCAAUGUCUCAAACAGGACACGAUCAACACGGCUACAAUCUCGUGAACUAUCGACGCGACUACUACUGGGCACGAUCUCGUUUGCUAUGUCAACUGAAGAAUAGCGACCUAUUGAUCAAUGUCUCAAACAAGACACAAUCUCAACUUGUAUGUUUCAACAAAAACCAAAUUACUCUCAACAAGCGGAACAAGCGGAAUUUCUAUAUCAACUCAAUUUAUAUUUCUUUAGGCCACCGAUGAAAACAGUCCUGUUCGACAAAAAAUGGUGCCAUCAUACUUUUUUUGGACCUUACUUGACCCUGCAGAGUGGAAAAAAUUGACUCCAAAAAUUUUUGAUUUUCGUAAAAUUUUGUAAAUCCAAGAAAAAAAUGUAAAUCCGCGAAAUUUUUUUCAGCGUUUUAUCGAAAAGAAAAUGCUGAUUUUAAUUAAAAUUUGAAGUGGUCUGAUAGCCUAGUAAGUCUUUAUUUCUAUAUAUAUCUAGCCUUUAUCUGUUGGGUAUAAUAAUCCAAAAUUGGCAAAAAACAGUUUAGAUUUAACAACCUUCUUUUUUAUUCCGUC
Molecule: long non-coding RNA, 856 nt
Organism: Eurytemora carolleeae
Lineage: Eukaryota; Metazoa; Arthropoda; Copepoda; Calanoida; Temoridae
Exons: 3
Source: RefSeq, a predicted model, not a curated record